GAUGAACGCUGGCGGCGUGCCUAAUACAUGCAAGUCGAGCGAACAGACGAGGAGCUUGCUCCUCUGACGUUAGCGGCGGACGGGUGAGUAACACGUGGAUAACCUACCUAUAAGACUGGGAUAACUUCGGGAAACCGGAGCUAAUACCGGAUAAUAUAUUGAACCGCAUGGUUCAAUAGUGAAAGACGGUUUUGCUGUCACUUAUAGAUGGUUCCGCGCCGCAUUAGCUAGUUGGUAAGGUAACGGCUUACCAAGGCAACGAUGCGUAGCCGACCUGAGAGGGGGAUCGGCCACAUUGGAACUGAGACACGGUCCAGGCUCCUACGGGAGGCAGCAGUAGGGAAUCGGCCGCAACGGGCGAAAGCCUGACGGAGCAACGCCGCGUGAGUGAUGAAGGUCUUCGGAUCGUAAAACUCUGUUAUUAGGGAAGAACAAAUGUGUAAGGAACUAUGCACGUCUUGACGGUACCUAAUCAGAAAGCCACGGCUAACUACGUG
RNAcentral lists this ribosomal RNA (497 nucleotides) under uncultured bacterium. Its description in RNAcentral is "partial 16S ribosomal RNA". It matches the Rfam family "Bacterial small subunit ribosomal RNA", at positions 28 to 507 of the family's 1533-position model. The record is from RNAcentral.